Molecule: ribosomal RNA, 500 nt
Filed under: uncultured bacterium
Lineage: Bacteria
Description: partial 16S ribosomal RNA
Rfam family: Bacterial small subunit ribosomal RNA
Source: RNAcentral
AUUGAACGCUGGCGGAAUGCUUUACACAUGCAAGUCGAACGGCAGCACGGACUUCGGUCUGGUGGCGAGUGGCGAACGGGUGAGUAAUGUAUCGGAACGUGCCCAGUCGUGGGGGAUAACGUAGUGAAAAUUACGCUAAUACCGCAUACGAUCUAUGGAUGAAAGCGGGGGAUCGCAAGACCUCGCGCGAUUGGAGCGGCCGAUAUCAGAUUAGGUAGUUGGUGGGGUAAAGGCCCACCAAGCCAACGAUCUGUAGCUGGUCUGAGAGGACGACCGGCCCACCGGAAACUGGGAAACGGUCCAGACUCCUAAGGGAGCAAGCGUUGGGGAAUUUUGGACAAUGGGCGAAAGCCUGAUCCAGCCUUUCCGCGUGCAGGAUGAGGGCCCGCGGGUUGUAAACUGCUUUUGUACAGAACGAAAAGGUUUCUACUAAUACUAGGAGCUCAUGAGGGUACUGUAAGAAUAAGCACCGGCUAACUACGUGCCAGCAGCCGCCGUAA